UUGCUAGAGAGGACUUUCCUU
Molecule: microRNA, 21 nt
Filed under: Apopellia endiviifolia
Lineage: Eukaryota; Viridiplantae; Streptophyta; Jungermanniopsida; Pelliales; Pelliaceae
Description: microRNA 8165
Source: RNAcentral